This 494-nucleotide ribosomal RNA is filed under the name Cryptosporidium fayeri. RNAcentral describes it as "SSU rRNA". It matches the Rfam family "Eukaryotic small subunit ribosomal RNA", at positions 371 to 892 of the family's 1831-position model. Lineage: Eukaryota; Apicomplexa; Conoidasida; Eucoccidiorida; Cryptosporidiidae. The record is from RNAcentral.
UAGGGUUCGAUUCCGGAGAGGGAGCCUGAGAAACGGCUACCACAUCUAAGGAAGGCAGCAGGCGCGCAAAUUACCCAAUCCUAAUACAGGGAGGUAGUGACAAGAAAUAACAAUACAGGACUUUUUGGUUUUGUAAUUGGAAUGAGUUAAGUAUAAACCCCUUUACAAGUAUCAAUUGGAGGGCAAGUCUGGUGCCAGCAGCCGCGGUAAUUCCAGCUCCAAUAGCGUAUAUUAAAGUUGUUGCAGUUAAAAAGCUCGUAGUUGGAUUUCUGUUAAUAAUUUAUAUAUUAUACUUUUUAAGGUGUUUAUAUAAUAUUAACAUAAUUCAUAUUACUAUAUUUUUUUAGUAUAUGAAAUUUUACUUUGAGAAAAUUAGAGUGCUUAAAGCAGGCGUUAGCCUUGAAUACUCCAGCAUGGAAUAAUAUUAAAGAUUUUUAUCUUUCUUAUUGGUUCUAAGAUAAGAAUAAUGAUUAAUAGGGACAGUUGGGGGCAUU